RNAcentral lists this unclassified non-coding RNA (309 nucleotides) under uncultured Chaetothyriales. RNAcentral describes it as "sequence contains ITS1". The stretch from base 1 to 105 matches the Rfam family "5.8S ribosomal RNA", at positions 50 to 154 of the family's 154-position model. The record is from RNAcentral. Lineage: Eukaryota; Fungi; Ascomycota; Eurotiomycetes; Chaetothyriales.
GAAAUGCGAUACUUGGUGUGAAUUGCAGAAUCCCGUGAACCAUCGAGUCUUUGAACGCAAGUUGCGCCCUUUGGCAUUCCGAAGGGCAUACCUGUUCGAGCGUCAUUAUCAACCAUCAAGCCUAGCCUGUCGUUGGACUUUACGGCUGAAAUAUACCGUAGGUCCGAAAGAUAAUGACGGUGUCGUGUUUGACCCUUAAAUGCAACGAGCUUUUACUAGCACGCAUUGAAGUGGUCGAUCGACCCGGUCUUAAUCCAUUAAUUUUCUAAGGUUGACCUCGGAUCAGGUAGGAAUACCCGCUGAACUUAA